RNAcentral lists this ribosomal RNA (254 nucleotides) under uncultured bacterium. RNAcentral describes it as "partial 16S ribosomal RNA". It matches the Rfam family "Bacterial small subunit ribosomal RNA", at positions 524 to 776 of the family's 1533-position model. The record is from RNAcentral.
UACGGAGGGGGCAAGCGUUGUUCGGAAUUACUGGGCGUAAAGGGCGCGCAGGCGGCUGCUCAAGUCAGGCGUGAAAGGCCUGGGCUCAACCCGGGAAUUGCGCUUGAGACUGGGCUGGCUUGAGUGCGGGAGAGGAUGGUGGAAUUCCCAGUGUAGAGGUGAAAUUCGUAGAUAUUCGCAAGAACACCGGUGGCGAAGGCGGCCAACUGGACCAUUACUGACGCUGAGGCGCGAAAGCGUGGGGAGCAAACAGG